UUGGAGGGCAAGUCUGGUGCCAGCAGCCGCGGUAAUUCCAGCUCCAAUAGCGUAUAUUAAAGUUGUUGCAGUUAAAAAAGCUCGUAGUUGAAUUUCGGGGUUCUACCGUUGGUCGGGCUAACCAGUCUGUACUAGCGUGUAAGAAUUCCUACCUUCUGGGGAACCAUCAUGUUAUUAAUUUAGCGUGGUGGGAAACCNGGACCUUUACCUUGAAAAAAUUAGAGUGUUCAAAGCAGGCUUACGUCUGAAUACAUUAGCAUGGAAUAAUAAAAUAGGACGGUGGUCCUGUUUUG
This 293-nucleotide ribosomal RNA is filed under the name uncultured Scutellospora. RNAcentral describes it as "partial 18S ribosomal RNA". It matches the Rfam family "Eukaryotic small subunit ribosomal RNA", at positions 548 to 843 of the family's 1831-position model. Lineage: Eukaryota; Fungi; Glomeromycota; Glomeromycetes; Diversisporales; Gigasporaceae. The record is from RNAcentral.